Molecule: long non-coding RNA, 1076 nt
Filed under: Brassica napus (rape)
Lineage: Eukaryota; Viridiplantae; Streptophyta; Magnoliopsida; Brassicales; Brassicaceae
Description: long non-coding RNA (BNAP_LNC006350)
Source: RNAcentral
AUUUUUAUAAAGAAAUAUUGUGCAUUUUGGGUUGUGAAUUAGAAAUUAGGAUAACAAGAAUUUUUGUUGAUUGAUAAAUAUUCUUUUAGAUUUUUUGAUCAAUAGGUAGUAUUUUUUAGAUAAAAUUCUCAAAAAUUCUAUUUUAGGAAAGUUUUCAUUUUUGUAGAGAAAUAUUGUACAUUUGGGGUUGUGAUUCAGGAAUUAGGAUACCAAGAAUUUUUGUUGUUCUUUUGAUUUUUCUGAUCAAUAAGUUGUAUUUUAAAAAUAAUAUUCCCAAAUAUUAUAUUUUAGGAAAGUUUUUAUUUUUAUAGAGAAAUAUUGUGCAUUUUGGGUUGUGAUUUAGAAAUUAGGAUAUCAAGAAUUUUUGUUGAUUGAGAAAUAUUCUUUUAGAUUUUUUGAUCUAUAGGUAGUAUUUUUUAGAUUAAAUUCUCAAAAAUUCUAUUUUAGGAAAGUUUUCAUUUUGUAGAGAAAUAUUGUACAUUUAGGGUUGUGAUUCAGGAAUUAGGAUACCAAGAAAUUUUUGUUGAUUGAUAAAUAUUCAUUUAGAUUUUUUGAUCAAUAGGUAGUAUUUUUUAGAUUAAAUUCUCAAAAAUUCUAUUUUAGGAAAGUUUUCAUUUUUGUAAAAAAAUAUUGUACAUUUGGGAUUGUGAUUCAGGAAUUAGGAUACCAAGAAUUUUUGUUGAUUGAUGAAUAUUCUUUAGAUAUUUUUGAUCAAUAAGUUGUAUUUUUAUAAUAAUAUUCCCAAAUAUUCUAUUUUAGGAAAAUUUUUAUUUUUAUAAAGAAAUAUUGUGCAUUUUGGGUUGUGAAUUAGAAAUUAGGAUAACAAGAAUUUUUGUUGAUUGAGAAAUAUUCUUUUAGAUUUUUUGAUCUAUAGGUAGUAUUUUUUAGAUUAAAUUCUCAAAAAUUCUAUUUUAGGAAAAUUUUCAUUUUUGUAGAGAAAUAUUGUACAUUUGGGGUUGUGAUUCAAGAAUUAGGAUACCAAGAAAUUUUUGUUGAUUGAUAAAUAAUCUUUUAGAUUUUUUGAUCAAUAGGUAGUAUUUUUUUAGAUUAAAUAAUUAAAUAUUCUAUUUUAGGAN